GGGCCGUUAGCUCAAUUGGUAGAGCGUUCGCAUGGCAUGCGAAAGGUCAGGAGUUCGAUUCUCCUACGGUCCACUA
This 76-nucleotide transfer RNA is filed under the name Candidatus Microgenomates bacterium. RNAcentral describes it as "tRNA-Ala". It matches the Rfam family "tRNA". From Rfam's summary of the family: Transfer RNA (tRNA) molecules are approximately 80 nucleotides in length. Their secondary structure includes four short double-helical elements and three loops (D, anti-codon, and T loops). Lineage: Bacteria; Candidatus Microgenomatota. The record is from RNAcentral.